AUAACAUUUGGAAACAGAUGCUAAUACCGCAUAAAACCUAACACCGCAUGGUGUAGGGUUGAAAGAUGGUUUCGGCUAUCACUUUAGGAUGGACCCGCGGUGCAUUAGUUAGUUGGUGAGGUAAAGGCUCACCAAGACCGUGAUGCAUAGCCGACCUGAGAGGUAAUCGGCCACACUGGGACUGAGACACGGCCCAGACUCCUACGGAGGCAGCAGUAGGGAAUCUUCCACAAUGGACGAAAGUCUGAUGGAGCAACGCCGCGUGAGUGAAGAAGGUUUUCGGAUCGUAAAACUCUGUUGUUGGAGAAGAAUGUAUCUGAUAGUAACUGAUCAGGUAGUGACGGUAUCCAACCAGAAAGCCACGGCUAACUACGUG
Molecule: ribosomal RNA, 376 nt
Filed under: uncultured bacterium
Lineage: Bacteria
Description: bacterial SSU rRNA
Rfam family: Bacterial small subunit ribosomal RNA
Source: RNAcentral